RNAcentral lists this long non-coding RNA (849 nucleotides) under Cricetulus griseus (Chinese hamster). RNAcentral describes it as "lncRNA (ENSCGRG00015029238.1)". Lineage: Eukaryota; Metazoa; Chordata; Mammalia; Rodentia; Cricetidae. The record is from RNAcentral.
CUCCAGCACUACAGACAAGACUUGGCCACUAGUUCCUAAUAUACCAGUAACAACAUACAAGAGACAGUGAUUUAAAAAAAAAAACCAAAAAAACAAAAACAGAUUUAGUCAUUGUGGCCACACUGGGAAGAGGCAUACAGAGGAACCCCAGUCCAUCUUUGGGGUUCUGACAUUUAAAUAGAGAAAGGAUUGUGGUAGGCUGCAGGAAGUCUACAUAAUGAAAAAGUCUCGGUGAACGUGCAGCCCCAUUUCCGCUUCCUUGGCUCUGGUCCUGCAAGCAACAGAAAGAAAUUAGAACUGAGACUAUGAUCAACAUGAUCCUCCCAGGGAGGUACAGGAGGAACUGGGGUGAUGGACAAGAAGUGGUGAAUGACUGGAGACUCACAGGCACUUGUCCAGGGAGUGAUGCUGCCUUAGUUAUCGGUCGUGACCAUGUCUAUCACAGAGGAAAAGAAAGUCUCGAAAACAAAAACAACCCCAAACAAGACUACAGAGCCUGGACUGCAACUGAGGAGGAAAGCCACUGAUGCAAGACUUAGGAGAAACAUACAAGGCCCAGGAAGUAAACUGAAUUUGCAGGGCUCAGGAAUUUCCUGAAUGUUACAAGAUUCACAAGACCCAUCCCUAAGGCUAUAUAAGCAGUGACAAUGGCUGGGAACAGGAGACUGCAGAGCAAUGUACAAGCUGCACAGGCAGCUUCAGGAAUGCCGCCCUUUGUGAGUCAUCACUGUGCUGGGGUUGGCUUCAGCAGCUUCUGCAGCUGCCUUGAACCCCCUGCUCCUAUAAGUAACCCCUCAUUCAGGCCUUUGUGAGUAACCUCUCUCCCACACUUCUGUAAGUAACCCCAGU